RNAcentral lists this long non-coding RNA (240 nucleotides) under Prunus persica (peach). Its description in RNAcentral is "long non-coding RNA (PPER_LNC003345)". Lineage: Eukaryota; Viridiplantae; Streptophyta; Magnoliopsida; Rosales; Rosaceae. The record is from RNAcentral.
UGUGAUCAAACAGAAAUCCUGACGAGUGAACUGAGCAACGUCACACCCUAUUAAGAAACUUAGUCCAUCCAAGUCUUUCACACCCUGCCCCGCUACUCUACGCAACACAACCCCAUGCACAAUCUGCCCGCUAAACUGAAUCUUAUCUAUAUUCAGAAGAUGGCCAAAGCAUGAUGUCUUGAAUUAUUCUAAUUGUUCCGCACUCAACUUCGCUCGAAUUGCAGCUAGAGAUGAAUUUGC